Molecule: RNA transcript, 2807 nt
Organism: Nasonia vitripennis (jewel wasp)
Lineage: Eukaryota; Metazoa; Arthropoda; Insecta; Hymenoptera; Pteromalidae
Exons: 7
Source: RefSeq, a predicted model, not a curated record
GGAUGUUUGGAGAGACGGGUAUUAUAUAGGGUUUGUUGGAAGUGUGUGGGAAGAAAUUCGGUCGCGGUUAAUUGGACGACGGAGAUACUAUUACUGUGAAUGUAUUCUGGAGGAAGCUGAUUAUGAGGAUUAUCCGCGACUAAAUAAAUAUUCAGUAGAUAGGGUUAUCUACUUUGAGCGGGUUAUUUGUCUGAAAAUAGCUCGAGCAGUUAUAGCAUGAGCGGCAUAAGCAGUAAACCUAAGAAGACAAUUAUGCCAUUGAUGAUCUACCGCUAUAUAUGCACUAAGACCGCCGAUAACAAUGUAAGGAAAUGAAAAAGUAUGCGCCACCUAUCAUCGCUAGCCAGAAUCUAUAAAGUCCAAAAAUUGAUGCGGAACAGGCCAGUCCAAAACAGUCUUGUUUCGCGACUGCCCUACGUAAUAUAAACGUCGACUCGAACAGGGAUACCGUGUAAACCAGCCGCUGCUCUGUUACGAUGUGCGACGAAUCGGAAAACGUUCGAUUCGCUUCGCACGAUUCAGCGCGCGCGCGCGAUAGCUCUAGCCAAGAAGAAAAAAAAACACGACCGCCUCGUUACUACCAUUCAGACCAAGCCGACGCGCGUCAAAAUUGUUAGUUCACCUUUCGGAAAAGCGCGAUAAAAAUUUAACCGUGACACGUAACAUCUAAAUUUUCAGUGUAAGAUUCGUCAACGGUUGAGAAGUUUGAUUUUUUUACCGGAGCAGAGAGCGAGCCGUGAAAAAAUGCAACUUUUGUUCGUUACGCUGAGGGGAAGAGGAGGAGAACGUCAUUCAACGUCGCACAUCUCGAGAGAGACUUGUCUUCGCGCCGUCGUUUUUUGCCCGCUUUUCGAUGCCUCGAGAGUCGAUGGGAACCGCUCGAGAGAGUUUCCUUCCGAAUUAAUGAGAACGUGCUUCCAGGGGGUUUGAGAAUUUUCGGAGUACACGUCCGUGAUGAAUGAGCUGUGAAAAUGCCGGUGUCAUAAUUUUUUUGGGCGAAAGGAAACUCGAGCGUGCGCUGAAUGGUAAUUGCGAGAGGCGUUUACGGGAAGAACUAAAGUUUUCGCCGCAAACUAUACAGAAAAAAGGAAAAAAAAAUAGAAAAACUGCCAUCCAAAAUCUUAAAAACAAUAAUGACGAACAACGGAGCUCCAAUGACCAUCAAAAAAGAGUAGAGGAACACAGGGAUUUACCGAUAAGAGACACCUCUCGAGAAGAGGCGCUUUUCUCUCGCGGUGUAAACAAACACGAUAUCUCGGCCCGAUCGGUGCCGCCGUGUGUAAUUCGAAACCCUCGUGUGGCCAAGUGACCGAGGAAGAACAAUAGCCGCUUCGCAGCGUCGGCCAUCUGUCGUGUGUCUUCCGUGUGUCCUGGGAGCGAAGAUGGUCACCAAGAUGUACAUCCUCGUCGAGGCCGAUCAGCCGAUACAGGCCGAUCCUCUUUCGAGAUUGAUGACUCAACUGGCGGAUCAACUGAAGAACCGUCCGCACGAGAUACAAGACGCUCGCGUUCUCUCCGCCCACGACAACGGCUACGCGUCGAGAACGCCGAACUACAGCACCAAAACCGACAGGUCAACGACCAACGGGCUUCAAGUGGCACGUCUUCACUCAUCGCUCGAUAAUCGUCGGGAUAUUAUCAAGCCUAAGAGUCUAUCUGAGCACAUCUUGGAUCCAGAUGUCAGUAACAACACCAGACUCGUCGUAGCCGAGGCUUGCGUCGACUCCUCUGGUCGAGCCAAAGCCAAAGUAUCCGUCUGCAACAACGAGCAGUCGAAGGAUGAAUCGAUCCUCAAAGAAGAAGCUAAGGACGUUUACUCUUGCGGACGGAGAAACGGCUUGGAUCCUACACCCGGCGAACUGAGAGGUCUGAGGAAAUUCGAGUACCUGCCGAAAAAAUCGAAAAUACCGGAGUACAAGGGCGGAUGCGCCAACGUCAAAUCCAUCGCAAUUUCCGAUCACUUGUCCAGCGCAUCCACGGCUUCGAAAUAUUCCGGAUACGGGUCGCGAAGAAAUUCCGGUAUUAAGGAGGCCGUCUGUCCGAGGAAUAUUCCCGAGGCGAGAUUGAACAAGUACGGCGCUUGCGCCAGCAGGAAGAACGGAUUGCAGGACAAGUGCGACGCCGUUUCGCGAAACGCCCUGAAGAGCUGCUCGAAAUCGACGAAGAAAUGAAAGCUCACUCGAAGGAAUCGUCCGAUAAAGGAGCCCGCAAGCAACUCGGCUCGUCGUCGCGAGUCAAAGCCAUAAGAGCUCGGCCCAAGAGGCUGUGCGUGAACAAGCCCUUGGAGGAGGCAGACGCCAACAGCCCGAAGAAGGUCAACUCGCGGGAGCUGCGCGCUGGCGUCGUUUACACCGACUGUGAUUGCUAUCGGCGCAACGGCCUGCAGCACGACUGUCCGCGCAAUCGAUGUGGAGGCAGCAAGGAUAAAUGCCUAACAGAACCCUGGCCGGAGUGCGAUCUUGGCAAGUACUACCGCGAGAAAUGGUCGCGGUACGACGCUCUGAGGAGCCGCGAACGCGAGCCGGCCUACUGCGUUCCAUUCGAGUAUGACUUGACUCGCCGGUACGUGGAGAAGUAAAUACCUCGGGAUCUCUACUAGAAAAACUCGCCGGGGAAGAAGCAGUGCUGCGGCACGCGAUGAUAGCUUUGUUUUGAGUCAAUAUCCCGAAAUAGCACAGGCGCAUUAACGCUCCUCUCGGAUGUAGCUUGUUUGAACCGACUUCUUUUUUCGGAGUUGGGGGGAGAUGUUGCUGGCGCUGUGUACUCGUCGGUGUCAAUAAAUUUGAAUGAGAGAACUUUCGGUAUAA